AUGGCAGCACCGCCGCCGGCGAUCCCGGACGACCUCGUCGAAGAGAUCCUCCUCCGCCUCCCGCCCGACCACCCCGCAUUCCUCCUCCGCGCCUCCAUUGUCUGCAAGGACUGGGCCGGCAUCGUCUCUCGCCCGCCCUUCCGCCGCCGCCUCCACGACCUCCACCGGACACCACCCCUCCUCGGCUUCCUCCGCCGCCUCCACGAGCUCCACCGGACACCACCCGUCCCCGGCUUCCUCCGCUGCUUAGUCCGCGGCCUCGUCCCCCACUUCAUCCCCACCACCGCCUCGUCCUUCUCUCCCGCCGUCCCGGACUGGCACUCCUGGCGGGCCCAGGACUGCCGCCAUGGCCGCGCCCUCUUCAUCUCCACGGGAGAGGGUACUCUGGAACUCCUCCUGUGGGAGCCAACCACGGGCGCCCAGCAGCGCGUGCCGAUGCCCGCGGCGUUCGGGAGCAGGAACUACUUCCCGAUGGCGGCUGUGUUGUGCGCAGCGGAUGGGUGCGACCAUCGCGACUGUCUCGGGGGUCCUUUCCGAGUCGUCUUCUCCUUCUCAGACGACCCCGAUGAGGAGGAUUUUGACCCAGAGGAGGAGGAGGAGGAGGAGGAGGAGUGGGUUAGGUCGCUGACCGUAUACUCGUCCGAGACUGGCACCUGGGGAGAGCUGACCUCGGUGCUCAGCAAGUUCCAAAUUAACUACCAACAAUAUUCCAGCCUGCUCGUUGGCAGCUCUUUGCUCUACUUCAGGGGCACGCCCGAAUAUAAGUCAAUCACGGAGUAUGACAUGGCAAGGCACACUUUGACCGUAUUCGAGCCACCAGGCGACUGCUCCGAAGUCGGAUGUAACCUCAUGCCGAUGGAGGAUGGCGGAUUGGGAGUUAUCGGAGGCUUGUUCGAUCAGCAUGUCAAAUUGUGGACAAGGGAGGCGGGUGACGGCACUGAUGCACGAUGGGUGCUGAGCCGGGAAAUCUGCUUGGACAAUUUGCUCCCAAUUAGUAGUGCUCCUAGUGACGCGCGCCGUGGAGUGGGGCGAGUGGUGAGGUUUGUUGAGGGAGCAGAUGUCAUUCUCGUUAGCACGGAUGCUGGCCUGUUCACAGUUGAGCUACAAUCAGAGCAUGCGAGGAAGGUCUGCAAUUACGGUGGCUUCGAUGAUUUGAUUCCAGUUGUCGGUUUCUACACUCCUGUGCCCAGAGGUGAGCACCAGAAUCUUCUGGCAUUGAAGCCCAAUAAGGAAGCAGGCGGUGAGGAGGAGAAAACGGUAGAUCAGGCGCAGCUGCUGUUCGACAAGGGGUCCAAUGCAAUCAAGGAGGGGACUUUGUCAACACCUUCGAAAGCAUCAGCCAUGGCCACAAUAUGA
This 1356-nucleotide ribosomal RNA is filed under the name Triticum aestivum (bread wheat). RNAcentral's name for it is "partial small subunit ribosomal RNA". Lineage: Eukaryota; Viridiplantae; Streptophyta; Magnoliopsida; Poales; Poaceae. The record is from RNAcentral.